RNAcentral lists this ribosomal RNA (327 nucleotides) under uncultured eukaryote. RNAcentral describes it as "partial 18S ribosomal RNA". It matches the Rfam family "Eukaryotic small subunit ribosomal RNA", at positions 1470 to 1796 of the family's 1831-position model. The record is from RNAcentral.
CCCUUAGAUGUUCUGGGCCGCACGCGCGCUACACUGACGAAUGCAACGAGCUUAUAACCUUGGCCGAAAGGUCUGGGUAAUCUCCAAAUUUCGUCGUGAUGGGGAUAGAUUAUUGCAAUUAUUAAUCUUCAACGAGGAAUGCCUAGUAAGCGCAAGUCAUCAGCUUGCGUUGAUUACGUCCCUGCCCUUUGUACACACCGCCCGUCGCUCCUACCGAUUGAAUGGUCCGGUGAAGCGUUCGGACCGUGGCCUUUGGACGGUUCGCCGUCUGUUGGCUGCUGGAAGUUCGUUAAACCUUAUCAUUUAGAGGAAGGAGAAGUCGUANCA